GGCCUUGUGGCGCAACGGUAGCGCGUUCGACUCCAGAUCGAAAGGUUAUCCGUAAGUGUUCUCCACAACGACA
Non-coding RNA from Bombardia bombarda, 73 nucleotides. Lineage: Eukaryota; Fungi; Ascomycota; Sordariomycetes; Sordariales; Lasiosphaeriaceae. The record is from the annotation of a GenBank genome assembly.